GCGCAUUAUAAUUCUUGUCUAAAAACCUGGCCAAAAUUUUUAAUCUAAAUGCAUACAUCUUUGAUUCAAUAUCGGGUAACUGUAAACCUCCAUUACACUUUUGAUCAAUGAUGGUGUUAUAUUUUACCAAGUGUGCACCAUUAUUCCACACAAAACUAACACAUGCAGUUUUAAUAUCUCGUAAAACAUAAUCUGGCAUCGAUGUUACAAA
Molecule: long non-coding RNA, 211 nt
Filed under: Mytilus galloprovincialis (Mediterranean mussel)
Lineage: Eukaryota; Metazoa; Mollusca; Bivalvia; Mytilida; Mytilidae
Source: RNAcentral